Molecule: ribosomal RNA, 102 nt
Filed under: Escherichia coli
Lineage: Bacteria; Pseudomonadati; Pseudomonadota; Gammaproteobacteria; Enterobacterales; Enterobacteriaceae
Source: RNAcentral
GCGGUGGUCCCACCUGACCCCAUGCCGAACUCAGAAGUGAAACGCCGUAGCGCCGAUGGUAGUGUGGGGUCUCCCCAUGCGAGAGUAGGGAACUGCCUGGCA